This 155-nucleotide small RNA is filed under the name Pedobacter alluvionis. RNAcentral's name for it is "Flavo-1 RNA". The record is from RNAcentral. Lineage: Bacteria; Pseudomonadati; Bacteroidota; Sphingobacteriia; Sphingobacteriales; Sphingobacteriaceae.
GCCUAAACCCGACAGCAGCGAAAAUACUUUUUGUUGCAGCAACCCUGAAUCUGCUGUUAUACUGAGGUACGAAGCAUCUGUAACCUAUGAACAGAUGAUUCGUACCUCAGCAUAACAGUGGCACAAAAAGAUUGAAGUGAAUGGUGGGACUGCAA